UAUUUGAAAAAUAUUUGAUUUUAAAAUCUUUAACUCGCGUGCUUUUAUUUUGAAAGCGCAACACAGCGUCUUUUCACCGGCCCGCCCCACCCCCUCAACGGCUAGUGGGGUCUGAAACUGACGACAGGUCGUCUGAGGUUAAUAUAAAGAGACAGCAGCAGCUCAGUUUAAAUGAUUUCUUUCUACUGGGGAAGAAAAGAAAGAAAGGAAAUGUGAGUUGGUAUAAAUUUUGUCCAGGAGGAUAAUUAUAUUUUAUGUCUAACGUAAGCCAUGGAUUAAAGUUCUUCGUCAAUUGCAAAAUUUUUAAAUUCACUUUUCAUAAAGACGACGUGUAUUCCCCUUGCUAAGCGGGAUUUGAUCAAAGCCUGGAGUGGAGCGAAAGCACGUUCUUCUCUUCACUAAAUACUCUUUAACCUGCCCACUGGAGCUUGGAAUGCAAUUUGGGACAUUCUUCCAGUUGUCGGCAACUUUGCGAAAAAGGCUAUGUAAGAAUUUAUAGUCAGCCUUGACAAAGAUUCCACUCCAAUUUAGCUGUUGAAUAAAGCUCAUCCCUCUAAAAGGCUUGAUAAUCAUAAAAGCUAGAAACUAAAAUGCAGAAUUCUGGCCUGGUGUUUGGUCUGUGCUGUCUUUGGCUCUUGCAUCUCCAUCAUCCUGACCCUCUUUAGCAGCCUGUCCAUGUAUUUAUUUGAAGGCCACCAUGAGCACCCAUCUGCAUAAUAUGACUUUGUUACUCAGAUGUCCAUGCGCUCCUACAAAUUCUACAUUUUUUGUAAAGCUGCAACAAGUUGAAACCCUAUAAUUAUUAACGUUUGAUUUUGAACUAUGUAAUUAAAAUACAUGAAUAAGUAACAAAAGCAGAAAUCUAUUAAGACAUUACCUUUUUGUUGCUUGUUUACUGAUCUAUCAAUCCUUUUGCAUUUUCAUAAUUGAUCAUCAUAACUUGGUAUACAGUGGAUGUGUGGCUGUAGAUAACUUCUGAAGUCAAUUUAAAAAGACAAAAGUUAAUAAAUGCUGAAUUGGUCAAAUAUACAUUGUUGUAUUUUCACCAUUUUGAUGUUUAGGCAUUUCAUAAAUUGAGGGUUAAUUCACGUAUACUGAUGUUUCAAAUCAAAGAUUAUUUAUUAAUGACAGCUAAUUAUUUUAUAAAGAUUUUUAUUACAAUAUUUAUUUGUAUAAUAUCAAUUUAAUACAUUUAAUUCGUUACACCUACAUCACUGAGCGCAAGGGAGUGCAGCCAACAAAUACAUUCAGGUGUGUUUGACUUAACACCGAGAUGCGCAGACAGCACGUGGUAUGACAUCAAAGUACCGCGAGAGUUUGGGAAAGCCCCUGAAAAGGUUUGAACUCGCGGUAUUUGAUGUCACGAUCGGUUUGCGCGUACAUCAGCAUGAAGUCAAACACAUCUGAGAGAUGUGUGGGCUGCCUGCACUCAACGUUGCGAUCUUGCGAUAAUUCAGUAGAGUGUAACCUCAGUCGUUUUUUGCAGCUUCUGGGUGUCGUGUCGAACGAUAGCAGAACGAUCUUUUGUUCUUUUCCAACUCGAUUUUUAACUCCCUAAACUAGUAGGAUGUUCCGACGGGUGAAGCAACAGUGCUGACGGCAGAGUUUCAGUGUCAAUUUUUCAUGCCAUGAUCACUGGGGCGGAAACCAUUAUGACGUUGCCUUGGACAUCAAACUAAACCAUCUCAUUCUGGCUUUUCUCUAACAUCGAAAUCUCAGAAGGACAGGACUAAGAUGGACGCAGCCUACACAGGAUGCAACCUUGCAUUUGAGGAACACCCAUAGAACGGAGAAAGUCAUUGGUUCUUCUGCUGAGGUUGUCAUAAAGCAUGCUUUUUCCAUUUGUUGCAUUGGGCAAUAUUAUCAAAAGAUUCUGAAAGAAAUAAGAUAAUUUUCAAAGCAUUAACAUGAAUAUGAAAGCAUUAGGUCAUUAAUGACCAUCUUUUAUUAUUGUUUAUUUACAGUGUCUUUAAUUCUGCUUACCUGACUCAUGCAGAAUUCUGGCUUGAUGUUCGGUCCACCUGUUAGCUGGCUCUGGUGCUUGGUAGUCUUCUCACUCAAACCUCUGAAUCAAGACCACCAUGAGAGGCCUUCUGAAGACCAUCAUUACGCUUCAGAUCCAGUUGUCUUUACUAUGAGAUGGGACUGAACUGGAGUCUGUGAACUAAUGCUGUGUUCGAGACAACUUGGAUGUUGGAUAUUAUUGACCUCAAACCCGUAAGAAGUCUGGAACAGCAAACAAAAUCCUUUCUCUUUUUAAUGCAGAACUUAAGGAUGAACCACCCUGAUCUACUUAGAUGCACAGAUUCAACUCUGGCCCAGCAUCAUCCCCACACCUCAUCUGCCAUCAGUUUAAUUUAAUGUCUGUCAAUUGCAAAGGCUAUUUAUUUCAGUUAUAUUACAACUUAAUGUUAACUUUAAUUGAGACUAGUAUUGUGUAAAGCUGGGGUUUCCAAACUUUUAAUUUCAAAACCUAUUAGACAAGUGUAAUCUAUUUUAGACCCACUAAAAUAUUUUUUUAAUGGGGUAAAACACAUUUGUUCUCUUUCAGUGGAGUUAUUUUAUUUUCAUAAUAUUUCAUAAUGUAAAGCAGUGGUUCUUAACGUUAUUCCUCGAGGCCCAUUGCUCUGCACAUUUUGUAUGUCUUUUUUAUCUGACAGACUCGGUUCAGUUCAUUGAGAUCUCUUCUAAUGAGCUGAUGAUUUGAAUCAGGUGUGUUAAAUAAGGGAGACAUACAAAAUGUGCUGGGCAGUGGGCCUCGAGGAAUAACGUUAAGAACCACUGAUGUAAAGUAAAUAUAAGUUUAUUUGCAAUACCAAAUAUUUUAUGGUAUAUUCUUUCAAAACCAUUGUCAUUGUUAAUUAUUAAUUUGGCCAGACUGUUGUUGCAUCAUUAAGGUGUGCAACACACCUUAACCUACUGUGUGACCUGUGUCACAUGCUACUUUCAGCACUUAUUACAUCACAGUGUUUUUAAUGCUUAAUUUUUAGGUUUAUUAUAAAUUCAUUCAUUUUUAAAGAAUUCCUUCUUUAUGUAGAACAUGCAAAGUCUAAAAUGUAAAGUGUCAUGAUCUGCUCUGGGUCUUGUGCAGUGAUUAAAAGAGCAGGUAGUAAAUGUCAUGGCUUUGCAGUAUAUUGGGUAGGCUCUGGAUGUAAUGAACAUUCAGCACAUAGGUUUCAUAAAUUUAAUUUGGAAACAAACUUGUCAGAACAAUCCAUGCUGUGAUGCUGGAUAAUACCUAGUCAAAUGAAUACAUGUAUAAUGUGUUUCGACAUUGUAUAAGGUUCUUCAUCUAUACAAACAUCUGUUAGUGAACGGUGCAGAGACUGCUGUCCAUUAUUGGUUACAGUAUAUUUGUUAAAAUGUUGCCAGUAAGAUUAUUUCCUUGUACAAGGUACUUUCUUUAUAUGUGUUUUAUUCUACACUUAAAGCAUAAACGCAAUUUAAAUGCAAGAGUCCCCUCGUCCCUACUUCCAAAUAUGCAAGUGAAACUGGACUAAACGCAUACAGUAUACAUACGGGUAUGAUUUCAUGUUUCUAUAUUACACGUGAUACAGGUAGGCAGGGUGCGAUUUGCCGGGGGGGAUGCGUGGGAUUUCCCCCUUUCUGGUCAAUGUAUCCCUGCCUCUGCUUAAUUAUUUUUAUCCCCGGUGGGGAUAAAUUUAUCCCCCCCUCAAAGUGAUCAGUGCUACUACACCAGUGGCGAGACGGAUCACAAAACUUAUCAUGGAUCCGUGGUUUGAUUAAAGUCAAUUUUGUUUUAAAAUACGCUACUUUGGCUGGCUCUGAUACAGCUGCCGCGCAGCCUCUCUGUAUUCAUCACUCUGCAGACUUGCUCAAUGUCCCGCCCACGGCGCUAUCUGAUUGGUUACAGACCCGGUUACACCUCACAAGUAAUAGACACUAGUGAGAUGGUUAUGGAGCUGUGUGUCGAAACGAUGGAAGGCAGCAUAUUCAGCUGCAUAUUAAUAAAGCGGGAAUAAACAUAACAAUCUGAUUAUCUGUUUAUGAUGACAAGCAAAUUAGUGUCCCAGUCACACCACUGAGAAUGGCCGAAGUUACACAUGAUAAAUGCCGAUGAGGCGCGUUUAGUGAGGCGCGGGCGCAUCCAGUUUGCUCAAAUGAGGCUAAUUGAC
Paramisgurnus dabryanus is the source of this 4136-nucleotide non-coding RNA. NCBI's taxonomy places the organism in Eukaryota, Metazoa, Chordata, Actinopteri, Cypriniformes, Cobitidae. The record is from RefSeq and is a predicted model, not a curated record.